Molecule: non-coding RNA, 101 nt
Organism: Parathielavia appendiculata
Lineage: Eukaryota; Fungi; Ascomycota; Sordariomycetes; Sordariales; Chaetomiaceae
Source: the annotation of a RefSeq genome assembly
UCUUCCGUAGUAUAGUGGUCAGUAUGUGAGCUUGUCAUCGCACCAGGCUCCUCCUGGUCCAGACACCGCUCGAGACCCGGGUUCAAUUCCCGGCGGGAGAG